Long non-coding RNA from Juglans microcarpa x Juglans regia, 363 nucleotides. RefSeq lists it as uncharacterized. NCBI's taxonomy places the organism in Eukaryota, Viridiplantae, Streptophyta, Magnoliopsida, Fagales, Juglandaceae. The record is from RefSeq and is a predicted model, not a curated record. The transcript is spliced from 2 exons.
AGAGUGUGUUCUCUUACACGCCUGAUCAGGUUUUGGUUAGCAACGGGGCCAAGUAGAGUAUUCAUCAAGCCUUUGCUUGCAGUUUGUUCCCCCAGAGAUGAGGGAAGCUUAAUUUGGAGUAUGAGACAAAUAUAUUUGUCUUGGCAGAAGAUUUUGACCGAUUGUUUUACAAUAUUUUUUUUAAUGUUUCCUUCUUCUGUGCCGAUUUUUUCUUUUUUAUUAUCAUUUUUAAUUAUUUAAAUAUGUAAAUCAGUAUAAUUAUCUAUAUUCAUGUAUUGAUUCAACCUACUGACACAAGUAAUUUCUUUUUCCCACUGACACAAGUAAUUUCUUUCUCCUACUGACACAAGCAAUUUCUUUCUA